CAAGAGCCCCACGGCCCGAUUCUGGAAGAACUGUCUGAGCGACAUCACCUGGGGAGGACCCAGGCUCAGCCAGUCCUCGGUGGGCGUACUUCUUAGAAUGUCUUUUUAAACUCAGUCACCUCCUGAAGGCUGCACAUCAGACGUUUCCCCUUCUAAGGUUGACAAAACUCAACUGGCAUCGUUUAAACAGAGUUUUUGUGCGGCUCGUGAGGAGUCUUCAGUUCCAAGGGGGAAGCUGGAAUGGAGGCUGUCAGCUCAAGUCACAAGGGAGGAAGACGCACAUUGAUCUCGUGUGGCUUUGGGAUUUGUGCUGUUGGAACUGAGAACUCUGAGGGGGACAAACAGUAAGAGCAGUCUUUACGGGAAUCAUACAGAAUGUAUGAACAUCUUAGCAGCUUUUGCUCGUGUGCCCAACAAGGGGCUAAUUCUUUGCACGCAUUUUCCUGGUUACACCAGGCAGUAUUGUUUCAAGACAGGAAUUAUGGUCUGCACUGUAAAGAUGAGCGCCCGAGGGCUCAGAGGGGUCGAUGAACAUGCCAUGCUCACACAGCUGGUAAGAGGACCAGGCAGAAUUCAAAGCGGGACUGCCCUGGGUCCAAAACUUUGUCCUUAGUCACUGUGCGAGACUUUCCCUCACUCUGACCCUACAUCCCUAUCUGACCAGCUUGGAUAACACCCUUUCUUUUUUGAAAUUAACUCUGGUCUGUCCAACACAUAUCUCUGCUCUACAAGGAAGGGAGUGUAACCAGGGAUUGCUGGUGCAUGGGUCAGAGCCAGGGCUCUGUCAUUUGGC
Molecule: long non-coding RNA, 793 nt
Filed under: Marmota monax (woodchuck)
Lineage: Eukaryota; Metazoa; Chordata; Mammalia; Rodentia; Sciuridae
Source: RNAcentral